This 450-nucleotide ribosomal RNA is filed under the name uncultured bacterium. RNAcentral's name for it is "partial 16S ribosomal RNA". It matches the Rfam family "Bacterial small subunit ribosomal RNA", at positions 29 to 523 of the family's 1533-position model. The record is from RNAcentral.
AGCGAACAUUGGCGGUAGGCUUAACACAUGCAAGUCGAGCGAGGCGUAAUAGUCGAGCGGCGAACGGGUGCGUAAUACAUGGGAAUCUACCUCGAAGUGGGGGAUAACGUCCAGAAAUGGACGCUAAUACCGCAUACUCCAUAUCGGGAAAUCGUUGCAGCGCUUUGAGAUGAGCCCAUGGCUGAUUAGCUUGUUGGUGCGGUAACGGCUCACCAAGGAGACGAUCAGUAGCUGGUCUGAGAGGAUGACCAGCGACACUGGAACUGAGACACGGUCCAGACUCCUACGGGAGGCAGCAGUGGGGAAUCUUGCGCAAUGGGGGCAACCCUGACGCAGCCAUACCGCGUGAGUGAUGAAGGUCUUCGGAUUGUAAAGCUCUUUCGGCAGGGACGACGAUGACGGUACCUGCAAAAGAAGUCACGGCUAACUUCGUGCCAGCCGCCGCGGUAA